This 468-nucleotide ribosomal RNA is filed under the name uncultured bacterium. RNAcentral's name for it is "partial 16S ribosomal RNA". It matches the Rfam family "Bacterial small subunit ribosomal RNA", at positions 28 to 507 of the family's 1533-position model. The record is from RNAcentral.
GACGAACGCUGGCGGCGUGCUUAACACAUGCAAGUCGAACGGAAAGGCCCUGCUUUUGUGGGGUGCUCGAGUGGCGAACGGGUGAGUAACACGUGAGUAACCUGCCCUUGACUUUGGGAUAACUUCAGGAAACUGGGGCUAAUACCGGAUAGGAGCUCCUGCUGCAUGGUGGGGGUGGGAAAGUUUCGGCGGUUGGGGAUGGACUCGCGGCCUAUCAGCUUGGUGGUGGGGUAGUGGCUUACCAAGGCCAUGACAGGUAGCCGGGCUGAGCGGGUGAGCGGACCAGCUGGGCCGGAAAUGAGGCCCGGCCUCGUCCGCUACGGAAGGCAGGAGAAGAGAGUAUUAUGGGAGGGAGGCAAGUGUAGCAACGCCGUGUGGGGGGUGUGAGGCAGCGGUUUGUGUUGCACAGCCGCCUGUGACGAGACGUGAAUGACAGUAAUGGGUAAAGAAGCACCGGCUAACUCCGUG